RNAcentral lists this ribosomal RNA (486 nucleotides) under uncultured bacterium. RNAcentral's name for it is "partial 16S ribosomal RNA". It matches the Rfam family "Bacterial small subunit ribosomal RNA", at positions 30 to 507 of the family's 1533-position model. The record is from RNAcentral.
AUUGAACGCUGGCGGCAUGCCUUACACAUGCAAGUCGAACGGCAGCACGGGUGCUUGCACCUGGUGGCGAGUGGCGAACGGGAGAGUAAUACAUCGGAACAUGUCCUGUAGUGGGGGAUAGCCCGGCGAAAGCCGGAUUAAUACCGCAUACGAUCUACGGAUGAAAGCGGGGGACCUUCGGGCCUCGCGCUAUAGGGUUGGCCGAUGGCUGAUUAGCUAGUUGGUGGGGUAAAGGCCUACCAAGGCGACGAUCAGUAGCUGGUCUGAGAGGACGACCAGCCACACUGGGACUGAGACACGGCCCAGACUCCUACGGGAAGCCGCAGUGGGGAAUUUUGGACAAUGGGCGAAAGCCUGAUCCAGCAAUGCCGCGUGUGUGAAGAACUCCUUCGGGUUGUAAAGCACUUUUGUCCGGAAAGAAAUCCUUGGCCCUAAUACGGUCGGGGGAUGACGGUACCGGAAGAAUAAGCACCGGCUCACUACGUG